RNAcentral lists this transfer RNA (72 nucleotides) under Camelus bactrianus (Bactrian camel). It matches the Rfam family "tRNA". Rfam says of the family: Transfer RNA (tRNA) molecules are approximately 80 nucleotides in length. Their secondary structure includes four short double-helical elements and three loops (D, anti-codon, and T loops). RNAcentral also lists the same sequence under 1 other name. Lineage: Eukaryota; Metazoa; Chordata; Mammalia; Artiodactyla; Camelidae. The record is from Rfam by way of RNAcentral.
GAGGGCAGAGCUCAGGGGUGGAGCGCACGUUUAGCACGCGUGAGGCCCUGGGUUCAAUCCCCGGCACCUCCU